This 587-nucleotide ribosomal RNA is filed under the name Zoarces americanus (ocean pout). RNAcentral describes it as "partial 16S ribosomal RNA". It matches the Rfam family "Bacterial large subunit ribosomal RNA", at positions 1811 to 2607 of the family's 2925-position model. The record is from RNAcentral. Lineage: Eukaryota; Metazoa; Chordata; Actinopteri; Perciformes; Zoarcidae.
AAACAUCGCCUCUUGUAAAUUAUAGAUAAGAGGUCCCGCCUGCCCUGUGACUAUUAGUUUAACGGCCGCGGUAUUUUGACCGUGCGAAGGUAGCGCAAUCACUUGUCUUUUAAAUGAAGACCUGUAUGAAUGGCAUAACGAGGGCUUAACUGUCUCCUCUCUCCAGUCAAUGAAAUUGAUCUUCCCGUGCAGAAGCGGGAAUAUAAACAUAAGACGAGAAGACCCUAUGAAGCUUUAGACACCAAGACAGAUCAUGUUAAUAACCCUAAAUAAAGGCUUAAACCAAAUGGAACCUGCCCUAAUGUCUUUGGUUGGGGCGACCGCGGGGCAUUGAAAAACCCCCACGUGGAGUGGGAGCACCCCUCCUACAACUAAGAGCUACAGCUCUAAUAAACAGAAAUUCUGACCAGUAAGAUCCGGCAAUGCCGAUCAACGGACCGAGUUACUCUAGGGAUAACAGCGCAAUCCUCUUUUAGAGCCCAUAUCGACAAGGGGGUUUACGACCUCGAUGUUGGAUCAGGACAUCCUAAUGGUGCAGCCGCUAUUAAGGGUUCGUUUGUUCAACGAUUAAAGUCCUACGUGAUCUG